This 253-nucleotide unclassified non-coding RNA is filed under the name uncultured Chitinophagaceae bacterium. Its description in RNAcentral is "contains 16S-23S intergenic spacer region". It matches the Rfam family "Bacterial small subunit ribosomal RNA", at positions 524 to 776 of the family's 1533-position model. The record is from RNAcentral. Lineage: Bacteria; Pseudomonadati; Bacteroidota; Chitinophagia; Chitinophagales; Chitinophagaceae.
UACGGAGGGUGCAAGCAUUAUCCGGAUUCACUGGGUUUAAAGGGUGCGUAGGUGGGCAGGUAAGUCAGUGGUGAAAUCCCCGAGCUUAACUUGGGAACUGCCGUUGAUACUAUCUGUCUUGAAUAUCGUGGAGGUAAGCGGAAUAUGUCAUGUAGCGGUGAAAUGCUUAGAGAUGACAUAGAACACCAAUUGCGAAGGCAGCUUGCUACUCGAUAAUUGACACUGAGGCACGAAAGCGUGGGGAGCAAACAGG